GACAACUUUAUACACACACGUUUAAGAUCCUACCUGUAAUAAGUUAAAUGAGAUAUAAACGGUCAUAUUUACAACUAUAUCAUGUGUGCACAAAUCAAGCAAUACAUUGUUUCCGUGACGUUUGGAAUAUUAAACAAGUCUCAUGACAUGCUUGGCCGGUUAUGGUUCCAAGAAGAUUUUAGACAAGACUGAGGGACAAUCAUGCUCUGACAGUGCUAGUGUGGAUAUUUUAAAGAACAGUAGAGGUCUCAGGACAUGCUUGAUCGGUUACGAUUCCAUAACAAUUUUUAUCAAGAUUGUGGAUCAGUGCCAGAGUGGUUCUUGAUGAAGAAUAGUAGAGUUAUCCCCUUCGAUAAGUGAAUGUAUUGACAAUGAAGAAAUCGCCGAUUUUGUGAUGGAUAUGGAUGGAAAAGGAAAA
Mercenaria mercenaria is the source of this 418-nucleotide long non-coding RNA. RefSeq lists it as uncharacterized. The record is from RefSeq and is a predicted model, not a curated record. Lineage: Eukaryota; Metazoa; Mollusca; Bivalvia; Venerida; Veneridae. The transcript is spliced from 4 exons.